This 632-nucleotide ribosomal RNA is filed under the name Myxococcus sp. RNAcentral's name for it is "bacterial SSU rRNA". It matches the Rfam family "Bacterial small subunit ribosomal RNA", at positions 60 to 672 of the family's 1533-position model. Lineage: Bacteria; Pseudomonadati; Myxococcota; Myxococcia; Myxococcales; Myxococcaceae. The record is from RNAcentral.
AGUCGAGCGCGAAUAGGGGCAACCCUUAGUAGAGCGGCGCACGGGUGCGUAACACGUGGAUAAUCUGCCUGGAUGCUCGGGAUAACCAGUCGAAAGAUUGGCUAAUACCGGAUAAGCCCACGGUUUCUUCGGAGACUGAGGGAAAAGGUGGCCUCUGUAUACAAGCUAUCACAACCAGAUGAGUCCGCGGCCCAUCAGCUAGUUGGCGGGGUAAUGGCCCACCAAGGCGACGACGGGUAGCUGGUCUGAGAGGACGAUCAGCCACACUGGAACUGAGACACGGUCCAGACUCCUACGGGAGGCAGCAGUGGGGAAUUUUGCGCAAUGGGCGAAAGCCUGACGCAGCAACGCCGCGUGUGUGAUGAAGGUCUUUGGAUUGUAAAGCACUUUCGACCGAGAAGAAAACCCGUUGGCUAACAUCCAACGGCUUGACGGUAUCGGGAGAAGAAGCACCGGCUAACUCUGUGCCAGCAGCCGCGGUAAUACAGAGGGUGCAAGCGUUGUUCGGAAUUAUUGGGCGUAAAGCGCGUGUAGGCGGCGUGACAAGUCGGGUGUGAAAGCCCUCAGCUCAACUGAGGAAGUGCGCCCGAAACUGUCGUGCUUGAGUGCCGGAGAGGGUGGCGGAAUUCCCC